RNAcentral lists this ribosomal RNA (490 nucleotides) under uncultured bacterium. RNAcentral describes it as "partial 16S ribosomal RNA". It matches the Rfam family "Bacterial small subunit ribosomal RNA", at positions 30 to 507 of the family's 1533-position model. The record is from RNAcentral.
AUUGAACGCUGGCGGCAGGCCUAACACAUGCAAGUCGAACGGUAACAGGAAACAGCUUGCUGUUUCGCUGACGAGUGGCGGACGGGUGAGUAAUGUCUGGGAAACUGCCUGAUGGAGGGGGAUAACUACUGGAAACGGUAGCUAAUACCGCAUAACGUCGCAAGACCAAAGAGGGGGACCUUCGGGCCUCUUGCCAUCGGAUGUGCCCAGAUGGGAUUAGCUAGUAGGUGGGGUAACGGCUCACCUAGGCGACGAUCCCUAGCUGGUCUGAGAGGAUGACCAGCCACACUGGAACUGAGACACGGUCCAGACUCCUACGGGAGGCAGCAGUGGGGAAUACUGCACAAUGGGCGCAAGCCUGAUGCAGCCAUGCCGCGUGUAUGAAGAAGGCCUUCGGGUUGUAAAGUACUUUCAGCGGGGAGGAAGGGAGUAAAGUUAAUACCUUUGCUCAUUGACGUUACCCGCAGAAGAAGCACCGGCUAACUCCGUG